This 381-nucleotide ribosomal RNA is filed under the name uncultured bacterium. RNAcentral describes it as "bacterial SSU rRNA". It matches the Rfam family "Bacterial small subunit ribosomal RNA", at positions 30 to 418 of the family's 1533-position model. The record is from RNAcentral.
CCUGAACGCUGGCGGCGUGGCUAAGACAUGCAAGUCGCACGGGCCUAGCAAUAGGUCAGUGGCGGACGGGUGAGUAAUGUAUCGCUAACGUACCCUGGACUCUGGGAUAGCUAAUCGAAAGGUUAGGUAAUACCAGAUGAGACCACAAGCCGGCAUCGGCUGGUGCUCAAAGGUCCGCCGGUCUGGGAGCGGGCGAUAUCGUAUCAGCUAGUUGGUGAGGUAACGGCGCACCAAGGCGAUGACGCGUAACUGGUCUGAGAGGACGGCCAGUCACAUCGGGACUGAGACACUGCCCGGACUCCUACGGGGGGCUGCAGUAACGAAUCUUCCCCAAUGCACGAAAGUGUGAGGGAGCGACGCCGCGUGUAGGACGAAGUCCUC